AGAUCCUAUCUGGCAGUUCGAACGAGAGACCUUCGGGUCUCCACGUGGCGAACGGGUGAAUAACACGUAGGGAACCUGCCCGCGCACCGGGAAUACGCUCUGGAAACGGAGAACAAAUCCCGAUGUACAGGAAGGAGGCAUCUUCUUUCUGUGAAACAUCCUUUCGGGGAUGGGGCGCGGAUGGACCUGCGGUGCAUUAGUUUGUUGGCGGGGUAAAGGCCCACCAAGACGAUGAUGCAUAGCCGGCCUGAGAGGGCGGACGGCCACAUUGGGACUGAGACACGGCCCAGACUCCUGCGGGAGGCAGCAGUAGGGAAUUUUCGUCAAUGGGCGCAAGCCUGAACGAGCGAUGCCGCGUGAGUGAAGAAGGCCUUCGGGUCGUAAAGCUCUGUUGCGGGGGAAAAAAGGCGGCAUCAGGAAAUGGGUGCUGACUGAUGGUGCCCCGCCAGAAAGUCACGGCUAACUACGUGCCAGCAGCCGCGGUAAUACGUAGGUGGCGAGCGUUAUCCGGAAUGAUUGGGCGUAAAGGGUGCGCAGGCGGUCCUGCAAGUCUGGAGUGAAACGCAUGAGCUCAACUCAUGCAUGGCUUUGGAAACUGGAGGACUGGAGAGCAGGAGAGGGCGGUGGAACUCCAUGUGUAGCGGUAAAAUGCGUANAUAUAUGGAAGAACACCAGUGGCGAAGGCGGCCGCCUGGCCUGUUGCUGACGCUGAGGCACGAAAGCGGGGGGAGCAAAUAGGAUUAGAUACCC
Molecule: ribosomal RNA, 750 nt
Filed under: uncultured bacterium
Lineage: Bacteria
Description: bacterial SSU rRNA
Rfam family: Bacterial small subunit ribosomal RNA
Source: RNAcentral